Molecule: ribosomal RNA, 327 nt
Filed under: uncultured bacterium
Lineage: Bacteria
Description: bacterial SSU rRNA
Rfam family: Bacterial small subunit ribosomal RNA
Source: RNAcentral
AGGGUUUGAUUAUGGCUCAGGACGAACGCUGGCGGCGUGCCUAACACAUGCAAGUCGAACGGAAGCAAAGAUUUCGGUUUUUGCUUUAGUGGCGAACGGGUGAGUAACGCGUGAGGAACCUGCCUUUCAGUGGGGGACAACAGUUGGAAACGACUGCUAAUACCGCAUAAUGCUUUUUGAUGGCAUCAUUGAAAAGCCAAAGAUUUAUUGCUGAAAGAUGGCCUCGCGUCUGAUUAGCUAGUUGGUGGGGUAACGGCCCACCAAGGCGACGAUCAGUAGCCGGUCUGAGAGGAUGAACGGCCACAUUGGGACUGAGAUACGGCCCAG